ACGAACGCUGGCGGCGUGCCUAAUACAUGCAAGUUGAGCGAUGAAGAUUGGUGCUUGCUCCAAUUUGAAGAGCAGCGAACGGGUGAGUAACGCGUGGGGAAUCUGCCUUUGAGCGGGGGACAACAUUUGGAAACGAAUGCUAAUACCGCAUAACAACUUUAAACAUAAGUUUUAAGUUUGAAAGAUGCAAUUGCAUCACUCAAAGAUGAUCCCGCGUUGUAUUAGCUAGUUGGUGAGGUAAAGGCUCACCAAGGCGAUGAUACAUAGCCGACCUGAGAGGGUGAUCGGCCACAUUGGGACUGAGACACGGCCCAAACUCCUACGGGAGGCAGCAGUAGGGAAUCUUCGGCAAUGGACGAAAGUCUGACCGAGCAACGCCGCGUGAGUGAAGAAGGUUUUCGGAUCGUAAAACUCUGUUGGUAGAGAAGAACGUUGGUGAGAGUGGAAAGCUCAUCAAGUGACGGUAACUACCCAGAAAGGGACGGCUAACUACGUG
RNAcentral lists this ribosomal RNA (496 nucleotides) under uncultured bacterium. RNAcentral describes it as "partial 16S ribosomal RNA". It matches the Rfam family "Bacterial small subunit ribosomal RNA", at positions 29 to 507 of the family's 1533-position model. The record is from RNAcentral.